RNAcentral lists this ribosomal RNA (622 nucleotides) under Rhodotorula mucilaginosa. Its description in RNAcentral is "eukaryotic LSU rRNA". The stretch from base 187 to 340 matches the Rfam family "5.8S ribosomal RNA". Lineage: Eukaryota; Fungi; Basidiomycota; Microbotryomycetes; Sporidiobolales; Sporidiobolaceae. The record is from RNAcentral.
CUUCCGUAGGGGGAACCUGCGGAAGGAUCAUUAGUGAAUAUAGGACGUCCAACUUAACUUGGAGUCCGAACUCUCACUUUCUAACCCUGUGCACUUGUUUGGGAUAGUAACUCUCGCAAGAGAGCGAACUCCUAUUCACUUAUAAACACAAAGUCUAUGAAUGUAUUAAAUUUUAUAACAAAAUAAAACUUUCAACAACGGAUCUCUUGGCUCUCGCAUCGAUGAAGAACGCAGCGAAAUGCGAUAAGUAAUGUGAAUUGCAGAAUUCAGUGAAUCAUCGAAUCUUUGAACGCACCUUGCGCUCCAUGGUAUUCCGUGGAGCAUGCCUGUUUGAGUGUCAUGAAUACUUCAACCCUCCUCUUUCUUAAUGAUUGAAGAGGUGUUUGGUUUCUGAGCGCUGCUGGCCUUUACGGUCUAGCUCGUUCGUAAUGCAUUAGCAUCCGCAAUCGAACUUCGGAUUGACUUGGCGUAAUAGACUAUUCGCUGAGGAAUUCUAGUCUUCGGAUUAGAGCCGGGUUGGGUUAAAGGAAGCUUCUAAUCAGAAUGUCUACAUUUUAAGAUUAGAUCUCAAAUCAGGUAGGACUACCCGCUGAACUUAAGCAUAUCAAUAAGCGGAGGAAUG